This 449-nucleotide ribosomal RNA is filed under the name uncultured bacterium. RNAcentral describes it as "partial 16S ribosomal RNA". It matches the Rfam family "Bacterial small subunit ribosomal RNA", at positions 29 to 523 of the family's 1533-position model. The record is from RNAcentral.
AACGAACGCUGGCGGCAUGCCUAACACAUGCAAGUCGAACGAAGCCUUCGGGCUUAGUGGCGCACGGGUGCGUAACGCGUGGGAAUCUGCCCUUUGGUUCGGAAUAACAGUUGGAAACGACUGCUAAUACCGGAUGAUGACGAAAGUCCAAAGAUUUAUCGCCAGAGGAUGAGCCCGCGUAGGAUUAGCUAGUUGGUGUGGUAAAGGCGCACCAAGGCGACGAUCCUUAGCUGGUCUGAGAGGAUGAUCAGCCACACUGGGACUGAGACACGGCCCAGAAUCCUACGGGAGGCAGCAGUGGGGAAUAUUGGACAAUGGGGGCAACCCUGAUCCAGCCAUGCCGCGUGAGUGAUGAAGGCCUUAGGGGUGUAAAGCUCUUUCACCGGGGAAGAUAAUGACGGUACCCGGAGAAGAAUCCCCGGCUAACUUCGUGCCAGCCGCCGCCGUAA